GCCACAAUUGUGUGAUAUCUGCAACGUCACCAAGAGCUUUACUUUGUGUUCAGGAAUCUGGUAACUACCCGCAUUUGAAUUUGCUCAGAUUUGCCAAAAUUUUGUUUGACUUUGAAUUCAGAACUGGCAAUGCUGGUCAAGAACGUAAAGUUUCAUCUAUUUACUUUUGGCUUGUCUAUUCUUAUUGCUAGUUUAGACUGAGCCUCUUCCGACAACGCUAUCUACUGCCCUACCAAACAUGUGGAGCGAGUGGGCCUUUACCUUCAACAAUGCAACGACCAACCCGGUAUAUAGGGUCUGGAGUAAUAUUGUACAAGGAAAACAUAACGGUUUAUCAGCUUGCUGGAUUUCGUCUAGAAUUUUUUCGAAAUUUUUCUGACCCCACACUUAAAACGACAGUCCUUUAAUUACACUUGGACAGUCGACGACUUGGGAAAAGUUUCUACUUACAAGUGGCCAGGACCUGCAGCAACUCCGGAAACGUUUUACACAUAUUACAAAAAUUUUAUAACACCUCUUGUAAUUACAAAAUCCCAUCAUUCGCUCAUCCGGUAUACAGCUCAACGAAGUAAUUCUGGAGAGUUUUGGUGGUAAGCUAAAUAUAACACAAUACCAAUAAUGAAAGCACCAAAACGGCUGCGGAUACAUCAGUCCGCAAUCAACUGGUGCACAUUAUAGUUUACUGCGCAUGCGCACUGUAAAAUUGCUUAUAAUUUAAUUAAGAACGAAGCGGUGCAAAUCCGCGAAUCAUACUUCAAGAAAACAUCAUUUCUUACCUGUAAAAUCUCGGGCAAGUAGACAGCGAUAAUAGACAGACAAACGGCAAUUCUACGUGUUGGUGGCAAGUCAAACUAUUUAUCAAUACAGAUAAAUAAAAUAAUGAAAGCAGCAGGCAGGGCUGCCGAUGCGUCGGUAAGCAAUAAUCAUUACAGACUUUACUACGUAUGCUCACUAUAAACACAUAUUAAUUAACAAAAAGCAAGUAAAUGUCUCCUGUUAGUCGUAGAAGUCUAUUUCUCUCAUAAUAAUUUACCGUGCAAGUAGAUACAGUAUUACAGACAAACAGACCGUAUUGAUGUAGAAAAUAAAUGAGAGACAGACAAUACAGACUGACAGACAGACAGAACGACAGACAGACAGACAGACAGCUAUCAAGAGACGAAGACGGAAAGCCAAAUGCAUCAACCUUCAAGACACCGGAGAUCUGUGUUUUCUGUGUAUCUACAACGAUCAAAUGCUAGGGUUAUUGACAGGGAAAUAAAGGAGAUUGUUUCAAGAGAGAGCCACAUAAACAUAAAUAGUCGUAAGUAGAACCAAGCCCUAUUGGCUUGGGUAGUAUUUAUUUGCUUUACUUAGAUGGUGUAUAAUAGUUCAAUGCUUGAAAAUGUAUGUAUUGACAUACAUACAUAUAUACAGACAGACAGACAGACAGACGGACGGACGGACGGGCGGACGGACGGACGGACGGGCGGACGGACGGACGGACGGACGGACAGACAGACAGACAGAUAGGUAGUCUGCAUUGUUCUCUUUUAAGUGAUACCUGUUUGUUUGUUUUUUAAAUCUAGUCCUAGUAAACUCUCGUAUAGUUACAGAACUUUAUAUAGUUAACUUGCUUGCAUUGUAUUAUAAAUGUAUGCUUGAAUUAAAUUUUAUUUGACAGACAGAGAGACAGACAGACAGACAGACAGACAGACGGACGGACGGACGGACGGACGGACGGACGGACGGACAGGCAGGAAGGCAUGCAGACAGACGAUCACACUAUCGAAUGCGCAUGUGCACCGAGGCAUAAUUACUAUAACUUGUAAACAUUUAUGAAUAAAAACGAGUAAUUAUUCUAAAUACAAUUUAACCAGACCAGAACCGGACUAUCUAUUAAGUUAAAGUUGUUGAAGAUAAAAUGUUAUUUUCUCUCUGUGCAAUUAGCUAGACCAACUAUUUCACGGCAAUCCAACAUCUUGCUCGGUGUAUCGGGAUCUAUUGUCGAGACUUGUUUCAAUGUCACCGGAGGUCCCAAGCCGUCAUUCAAAAUCAGCAAAAUGGACAAUAACAACGACGUUGUGUCUUCUAUUAAACACAAAAAACGGCUGCAUUUACUUCGGAUCUUUAAACCUUAGCGACGAUACAAAUGUUACUUUAACUGUGGCAGCAAAAAACUGCUUUGGAAAUUCAAACUUCACUCUUAACCUACAAAUUGUGCAAAAAUUAUUUUCAAGUCCAACUACGGUUCAGUGUUCAAGAAAUAGAUCUCACUAUGAAGGACAUACAACGCAACUUCCAACAACCAGUAGAAUCCAAACACAAACUCAACAAAUGAAUAAUCAAACAAAUGACGUUUCUAGUUCAGCAGCAAACACAAUCAUUUUGAAUUACAAUGGAAAAAACUGUGGCGUCGUGCAAAUCGAUAAUCACGGUAUCUGUUAGUUCCACACUAACAAUGCAAUACACUGUGACAAAUUUACACGACGAACUAUUCGUUUGUCACAAUGAGAAGACAACGGAUCAUGUGUUUAAUCGCUAUCCAUUUCUAAUCAUACCAAACGUACAACAAUCAGACACUGGAAUAUACGAAAUCGUAGCAAAAGAUGGGGAUGUAAAUACAAGAUUGUAUUUCAUGCUUCGAGUAAAGACAUCCUAUUCUGCAACGGAUACAUCAGAUCUAGGGAAAGGAUCGCUGCCUACGAAAACUGUUACCACGGAAGAAACAAAUGGCUACACAAGGCGUCUCACAUCGACAAUAGUUACAACAUCAGGUCACAAUGAGUCUAGACUACACGUGAACACACGUCGGAAAAAAUUGCAGUUUUGACUACAGCACUUAUUGUCGUUUCGGUCUCUAUUCUUGUCUUUGCUCUGCCAACUGCUUUCCUUGUUUACAAAAAUCGUCAACGCUUGAAUUUGUUAACUCGCAGACUAGCCAACUCUAGUGAAGGAAAAAUUGGUGGUAUUUCUAGCUUCUUCAACAGUUAACUAAUAUAUCUAUAUUGCAAAUAUCUAAAUUUAAUCGUUAUGUGAAUAAGGAGAACAGACAAUUUCUACAGAUUCACACGUACAAGGCGUCCAACAAAAAGCAUCUUUUAGCAAACGUGAGAAAACAGUGAUGAUAUCGAGUUCAACGGCUGGGGACGCUGUGUAUGAAUGUGUUGAAGAGGAUUGAGUGCGACAAGUCACAGUGGAGACAUCUGAUGAUUCCCCAUCAGAUAUCACUGUUCAAGAAAAUGCCGCUUACGAAGUAGCGGUCUAAACUCAGCAAUUUACAGUGACGCUGUUUUGCCAAAAUUGCUUCGUAUUCAGUUGACUAUAAGGUAUGACAAACAUCCGCGUAUCUGUAGAGCAGCUGCUUUUGUGUAGUACACUAUUAGACGAGUAAAUGCAUUUUCACAAAGACAUGAAAGUUUGCUUGUAUG
Corticium candelabrum is the source of this 3410-nucleotide long non-coding RNA. RefSeq lists it as uncharacterized. Lineage: Eukaryota; Metazoa; Porifera; Homoscleromorpha; Homosclerophorida; Plakinidae. The record is from RefSeq and is a predicted model, not a curated record. The transcript is spliced from 7 exons.